GACGAACGCUGGCGGCGUGCUUAACACAUGCAAGUCGAACGCUGAAGCUUGGUGCUUGCACUGGGUGGAUGAGUGGCGAACGGGUGAGUAAUACGUGAGUAACCUGCCCUUGACUCUGGGAUAAGCCUGGGAAACUGGGUCUAAUACUGGAUAUGACAUGCCACUGCAUGGUGGUGUGUGGAAAGGGUUUUACUGGUUUUGGAUGGGCUCACGGCCUAUCAGCUUGUUGGUGGGGUAAUGGCCUACCAAGGCGACGACGGGUAGCCGGCCUGAGAGGGUGACCGGCCACACUGGGACUGAGACACGGCCCAGACUCCUACGGGAGGCAGCAGUGGGGAAUAUUGCACAAUGGGCGGAAGCCUGAUGCAGCGACGCCGCGUGAGGGAUGACGGCCUUCGGGUUGUAAACCUCUUUCAGCACGAAAGAAGCGAGAGUGACGGUACGUGCAGAAGAAGCGCCGGCUAACUACGU
Molecule: ribosomal RNA, 471 nt
Filed under: uncultured bacterium
Lineage: Bacteria
Description: partial 16S ribosomal RNA
Rfam family: Bacterial small subunit ribosomal RNA
Source: RNAcentral